GUGAGGAAUUUUCCGCAAUGGGCGAAAGCCUGACGGAGCAAUGCCGCGUGAAGGAUGAAGGCCUAUGGGUUGUAAACUUCUUUUCUCAGAAAAGAAUUAUGACGGUAUCUGAGGAAUAAGCAUCGGCUAACUCUGUGCCAGCAGCCGCGGUAAGACAGAGGAUGCAAGCGUUAUCCGGAAUGAUUGGGCGUAAAGCGUCUGUAGGUUGUUUUAAAAGUAUUCUGUCAAAGAUUAGGGCUUAACCCUAGAUAGGCAGAAUAAACUUUUAAGCUAGAGGUUGGUAGAGGCAGAGGGAAUUCCCGGUGGAGCGGUGAAAUGCGGAGAUAUCGGGAGGAACACCAAAGGCGAAGGCACUCUGCUGGGCCAAUACUAACACUGAGAGACGAAAGCGAGGGGAGCAAAUGGGAUUAGAAACCCGAGUAGUCC
This 426-nucleotide ribosomal RNA is filed under the name uncultured bacterium. RNAcentral describes it as "bacterial SSU rRNA". It matches the Rfam family "Bacterial small subunit ribosomal RNA", at positions 354 to 796 of the family's 1533-position model. The record is from RNAcentral.